RNAcentral lists this non-coding RNA (22 nucleotides) under Arabidopsis thaliana (thale cress). Lineage: Eukaryota; Viridiplantae; Streptophyta; Magnoliopsida; Brassicales; Brassicaceae. The record is from RNAcentral.
UACAUCACAGGAUGGUUGGGAA